GUUGGGAGUUGUGGCGUGCUCCUGUGAUCCAGCUACCUGGAGACCGGAGUCGGUGAACGGUGUGAGGGCAGGAGUCCUGCUUUCAGGUGUUCUAUGUUGAGCGGCGUCCGCACUAAGAUCGGUAUCAAUAUGGGCACACCGAGGGAGCUCAGUGUGACCAGGUUGUCUAAGGAGGGACGUACAGGCCAAGGGCGGAAACGCAGCAGGCAAAAGUCCCGUGUCGAUCAGUAGUGGGAUCGCGCCUGUGAAUCGGUAUCUGUCAGCAAUAAAAUAUAUUUGGACUCGGCUCUUU
RNAcentral lists this signal recognition particle RNA (292 nucleotides) under Mytilus galloprovincialis (Mediterranean mussel). RNAcentral describes it as "Metazoan signal recognition particle RNA". It matches the Rfam family "Metazoan signal recognition particle RNA". From Rfam's summary of the family: The signal recognition particle (SRP) is a universally conserved ribonucleoprotein. It is involved in the co-translational targeting of proteins to membranes. Lineage: Eukaryota; Metazoa; Mollusca; Bivalvia; Mytilida; Mytilidae. The record is from Rfam by way of RNAcentral.